CCUACGGGAGGCAGCAGUGGGGAAUAUUGCGCAAUGGGCGAAAGCCUGAUGCAGCGACGCCGCGUGAGUGAUGAAGGUCUUCGGAUCGUAAAGCUCUGUCAGCAGGGCAGAACGGGCACUGUUCUAAUCAUCAGUGGAUUGACGUUACCUGCAAAGGAAGCACCGGCUAACUCCGUGCCAGCAGCCGCGGUAAUACGGAGGGUGCGAGCGUUAAUCGGAAUUACUGGGCGUAAAGCGCUCGUAGGCGGUCUGUCAAGUCCAGGGUGAAAUCCCCGGGCUCAACGUGGGAACUGCAUUUGAAACUGGCAAACUGGAGUGUGGGAGAGGAUAGUGGAAUUCCAGGUGUAGGGGUGAAAUGCGUAGAUAUCUGGAGGAAGAGCAGUGGCGAAGGCGACUCUCUGGAACAUAACUGACGCUGAGGAGCGAAAGCGUGGGUAGCAAACAGGAUUAGAUACCCGGGUAGUC
This 465-nucleotide ribosomal RNA is filed under the name uncultured bacterium. RNAcentral describes it as "partial 16S ribosomal RNA". It matches the Rfam family "Bacterial small subunit ribosomal RNA", at positions 338 to 795 of the family's 1533-position model. The record is from RNAcentral.